This 403-nucleotide ribosomal RNA is filed under the name bacterium. RNAcentral describes it as "partial 16S ribosomal RNA". It matches the Rfam family "Bacterial small subunit ribosomal RNA", at positions 355 to 776 of the family's 1533-position model. The record is from RNAcentral.
UGGGGAAUAUUGCACAAUGGGGGAAACCCUGAUGCAGCGACGCCGCGUGAACGAAGAAGGUAUUCGUAUCGUAAAGUUCUGUCCUAUGGGAAGAUAAUGACAGAACCAUAGAAGAAAGCUCGGGCUAAAUACGUGACAGCAGCCGCGGUAACACGUAGGGAGCGAGCGUUGUCCGGAAGUAUUGGGCGUAAAGGGUACGCAGGCGGUGUAAUAAGUAGAAUGUUAAAGAUCGGGGCUCAACCCCGUAAAGCAUUGGAAACUGAUAAACUUGAGUAGUGGAGAGGAAAGUGGAGUUCCUAGUGUAGUGGUGAAAUACGUAGAGAUUAGGCGGAGUACAAGUAGCGAAGGCGACUUUCUGGACACAAACUGACGCUGUGGUACGAAAGCGUGGGGAGCAAACAAG